GAUGAACGCUGGCGGCGUGCCUAAUACAUGCAAGUCGAGCGAACAGACGAGGAGCUUGCUCCUCUGACGUUAGCGGCGGACGGGUGAGUAACACGUGGAUAACCUACCUAUAAGACUGGGAUAACUUCGGGAAACCGGAGCUAAUACCGGAUAAUAUAUUAAACCGCAUGGUUCAAUAGUGAAAGACGGUUUUGCUGUCACUUAUAGAUGGAUCCGCGCCGCAUUAGCUAGUUGGUAAGGUAACGGCUUACCAAGGCAACGAUGCGUAGCCGACCUGAGAGGGUGAUCGGCCACACUGGAACUGAGACACGGUCCAGACUCCUACGGGAGGCAGCAGUAGGGAAUCUUCCGCAAUGGGCGAAAGCCUGACGGAGCAACGCCGCGUGAGUGCUGAAGGUCUUCGGAUCGUAAAACUCUGUUAUUAGGGAAGAACAAAUGUGUAAGUAACUAUGCACGUCUUGACGGUACCUAAUCAGAAAGCCACGGCUAACUACGUG
Molecule: ribosomal RNA, 497 nt
Filed under: uncultured bacterium
Lineage: Bacteria
Description: partial 16S ribosomal RNA
Rfam family: Bacterial small subunit ribosomal RNA
Source: RNAcentral